GGACAUAGCUCAGUGGCAGAGCAUCUGCUUUGCAUGCAGAAAGUCCCAGGUUCAAUCCCCGGCAUCUCCA
RNAcentral lists this transfer RNA (70 nucleotides) under Podarcis lilfordi (Lilford's wall lizard). It matches the Rfam family "tRNA". Rfam says of the family: Transfer RNA (tRNA) molecules are approximately 80 nucleotides in length. The record is from Rfam by way of RNAcentral. Lineage: Eukaryota; Metazoa; Chordata; Lepidosauria; Squamata; Lacertidae.